Molecule: ribosomal RNA, 422 nt
Filed under: uncultured bacterium
Lineage: Bacteria
Description: bacterial SSU rRNA
Rfam family: Bacterial small subunit ribosomal RNA
Source: RNAcentral
UGAGGAAUAUUGGACAAUGGAUGGAAAUCUGAUCCAGCCAUGCCGCGUGCAGGAAGACGGCCCUAUGGGUUGUAAACUGCUUUUGUAUGGGAGCAAUAAGGACUACGUGUAGUUUGAUGAGAGUACCAUACGAAUAAGCAUCGGCUAACUCCGUGCCAGCAGCCGCGGUAAUACGGAGGAUGCGAGCGUUAUCCGGAUUUAUUGGGUUUAACGGGUGCGUAGGCGGCGAUAUAAGUCAGUGGUGAAAUAUUUCGGCUUAACCGAGGGACUGCCAUUGAUACUGUGUUGCUAGAAUAUGGUUGCUGUGAGUGGAAUGUGUGGUGUAGCGGUGAAAUGCUUAGAUAUCACACAGAAUAUCGAUUGCGAAGGCAGCUCACAAAGCCAUUAUUGACGCUGAGGCACGAAAGUGUGGGGAUCAAACA